This 87-nucleotide ribosomal RNA is filed under the name Klebsiella pneumoniae. The record is from RNAcentral. Lineage: Bacteria; Pseudomonadati; Pseudomonadota; Gammaproteobacteria; Enterobacterales; Enterobacteriaceae.
GACCCCAUGCCGAACUCAGAAGUGAAACGCCGUAGCGCCGAUGGUAGUGUGGGGUCUCCCCAUGUGAGAGUAGGAAACUGCCAGGCA